RNAcentral lists this ribosomal RNA (497 nucleotides) under uncultured bacterium. RNAcentral's name for it is "partial 16S ribosomal RNA". It matches the Rfam family "Bacterial small subunit ribosomal RNA", at positions 28 to 507 of the family's 1533-position model. The record is from RNAcentral.
GAUGAACGCUGGCGGCGUGCCUAAUACAUGCAAGUCGAGCGAACAGACGAGGAGCUUGCUCCUCUGACGUUAGCGGCGGACGGGUGAGUAACACGUGGAUAACCUACCUAUAAGACUGGGAUAACUUCGGGAAACCGGAGCUAAUACCGGAUAAUAUAUUGAACCGCAUGGUUCAAUAGUGAAAGACGGUUUUGCUGUCAUUUAUAGAUGGAUCCGCGCCGCAUUAGCUAGUUGGUAAGGUAACGGCUUACCAAGGCGACGAUGCGUAGCCGACCUGAGAGGGUGAUCGGCCACACUGGAACUGAGACACGGUCCAGACUCCUACGGGAGGCAGCAGUAGGGAAUCUUCCGCAAUGGGCGAAAGCCUGACGGAGCAACGCCGCGUGAGUGAUGAAGGUCUUCGGAUCGUAAAACUCUGUUAUUAGGGAAGAACAAAUGUGUAAGUAACUAUGCACGUCUUGACGGUACCUAAUCAGAAAGCCACGGCUAACUACGUG